CCGCCCGGCCCCUCCGCCCCGGGAGAGCCGCUCAGGGGAGCCCCGCGGCCGGCUGCGGUGCGCGGUCCGCCCUCGGCGCGGAGACGUGGCGCACACCUGCUCUACCCUCUGCGGUCCGCGCAGCCGGCAGGGAAUCGGACACUGAGCAGUCCCUGCGGGGACUGCGAUAUACUUGAACAGAGAGGAAAAGUGCAAUCGUACGUGGAUUUCGUUAAUUAUAAGUGCGGUGUGCGUGGAUCAUGAGAUACGUAUCGGUAUUUAAGAUUGUUCUGUGUCGUGUUCUGUUUAUAUCUUUUUUUGGGAAAUACAUUUUAUUUUUAUACGUUUUAUAUAUAUAUAUAUUGCAUAUGGGCAUUUUAAAACAUUGUAUCCCCUCUAUUUUUCAUAUCGUGAAUGUCAAACGUUGUUAAACUCUUCUUCCAUACCUUUUUUAUCUUGCAUUCCAGACUGGUGAAAGAUGUAGAGAAUGUAUCAGCUGUUCUCCAUGGGUAAUAUGUGAAAUAAAGUAAACACCAUUACAUAAACCACUUCUGUUGUUUUUAGUGGGGGCAGAGGGUCAGAUAGAAGGCUUCUUACUUUCUUCAGCCCUGUCCUUACUAACCUAGCACGGCCGUUCCGCGGUAGCUUAAACCCCUCGGUUAGAGGCUUCGUUAGCCUUAUCUCAUUAGAGCGAGUAGAUUGACGAGCAGGCGUGCAUCUUAAAUCCUGGGGCAGAGCUGCUCAGAAGGCACCAAGGCCUUCUCUUACCCACACGUUCCAGGCAGGGCUGAGACGUGUCACGGCUUGGAUUGAUCACGCAAGUUUAUUUUCUGCCCUAAUUAAUCAGGGAAACAACUACACACUUCAGCAUUGCACAACAAAGUAACAGAUUUAUUGAGGGAGCGCGUUCCAAAAAUGGUCAUAGCAGCCUCCAAGGUUAUUUAUGUUGAAGGAUUUCCUGGGCCACAGUUCAGGUUAAAGUUAAAUGGUGACCGGUUCAGUGUGGGCAGAACAUCUUGGAUGAAAGCUUAGCAUUAGGGAUUUUGUUGUUUUGUUCUUUUUUUGUUCCCUCCAAAUUCCAACCACAGACCAGAAAACAAAUGGGAAACUAAAACUGCGCCAACAGCACCAUCUAUUGGUGGCCGCGCUGCGCUGCAACAAAACAACGCCCGCAGAACGAAACAAGUGCAUUUGAGUAACGGCUUGGAUCAAACGUAGCGUCUCCCUCAUCGUACGCUAUCUCUGCAGGCAGUGCGCACAGAAGAGGCAGGGCACAGCAGCACUUAACACAGCCAGAAGAAGUUAAGGGGCUGUAUUCUUUUCACCUCGUGCUAAACGCCUAAGGAACGCUUUGUUUCUGAGAAAAAAAAAUCAGAAGAAGGAGCAGUCACACAUUUCCAGGAAAACAGCUGCAAAAAACCAAAAACCUGGGGUAGGAAUUCAGUCAGCCAGAUGACUGGCAUACACAUCCAGCUUUUUUCCUCCCAAAGGUUAGAAACUCUGCUCAGAAUUGCUUGUUUGAACACUACUUUCCUAAACGUUUUCAACCUUGGAAUCUUGAGAGGCAUAUGUCGACAGUCACCAGUUUUAAUCACCAUCUGCUUGAUAACAGCUGGAAAAUAGUUUGCAUCUCUGUUGCUGCUGGCCUUUCAGAUCCAGAUGUUGUAAGAUGUAGAAACAGGAUGAGUAAGAACUGGAAGACAGAGCAGAAGUGCAGAGUGACAUGUAUCACACUUCCAAAUAUCACCUGUUUAGCUGGCAAGAGAUGACAGCAAGCACAUGGUCUUCGGUGUUGACUGUAGCUGCCAGUUGAGAAACAGGCAAGUGGCUAUUCUGAAGGUCUCAAGCAGAAACUGGUUGCUGCUGCUUAGCUUUGAGGUGCUUGCAGUGGGAACUUACAACGUGUAAGUGAACACAUGAUCCUACUGAAGGACAUAGAAUAACUGGAAUGACUCCCACAGAGCCCUACAAUGGAAUAAGUCCAAUACUUUACUUAUGGGUUGAACGGCUAGCAUCGAAGUCAUCUGAACUUGGGACAUACUGGGCAUAGUGGAUUAUAGAGUGGCUAAGUAUGUGCAUACCAACUAGGGGCCUUUGUAUUGAUCUUUUCUUCAUUUACUGCCCAAAACUGGUCUCCACUUAAAAAAAAUAAAAUAAAAUAAAAUAAAUUACCCUCUCCUUUCCCUUUUACUGAUAAAAAAAACCUCUUCACUCAACACUGAAAGAUCCUCUCCUUAAACAGACGGUGUUAAAAGCAGCAAGCUGCUGCCACACGGCAUAAUUCUGACCCGACAGGAGCUUCCUAAGUACCAUUGGAAGGAUCAAGAGCACCACCUGCCGUAGUUGUAGGGAGAAGCAAUAAGCUCCGUAGUUGCAAUAAACAAGAACUAAAGGAAGGAUUCCCCCAUCCCCACUCCUGCUAAUCUUGACAACCAAAAGGUCUUUUAGAGUAUCAGAACAGCACUACUGAACCAGAAACGCCAGAAAGUAGUGGGCAGCCCUGUCC
This 2485-nucleotide long non-coding RNA is filed under the name Gallus gallus (chicken). RNAcentral describes it as "lncRNA (ENSGALG00010023963.1)". The record is from RNAcentral. Lineage: Eukaryota; Metazoa; Chordata; Aves; Galliformes; Phasianidae.